CUCCCACGGGUGCAGCAGAAGCCUGCAGGCCGGAGUCCGCCACAAUACAGGGUGGCAGUCUCCCCAGCUCACUCCUGCAGGACUCUGCACCGUGCGGGGGAGCUCAUUUUCCGCCCGUGCUUCCGCAGGGGCGACCGCCUCCAACUUUCCUUCCUUCUCUGCACUGCGUCCCGCCUCAGGCGGCCCCUCCUCACUCCCAGGUCUUUCGUCCCCCUGGUGCUGGGACACUAUUUCGAGAACUCCUUGAAGCACCCGGGUCUGGGGGUAGCAGGAGCUCCACUGUCUUUUAGCAGCCUCAACCACUCCCAGGCCAAUCGUUACCUAGGCAACGGCCCGCUCUCGCGAGACCACGUGCACCCUGCGGAAUCACUUAGCAACCAGCGCAGCAGCGGUGAGCUGAGCCCAGGCUUCAGCGGAGAGAUGGAGCCGCGGGGUUUGAUGGGGCCUCAGGAUAAAGUUGCUGGGCGGCCAGAGAAGUUGGGGAGCUCUGGCUAAGAGAAGUAUGUCCAGAGGGAUUCCACUGUACCUGUGAUGACGGACUAUGGACAGCUCAGAGAGGAGGAUGUAUAAACACUUGGACUGCCACUUCUGAAAGUGAGGCUCUUUGGAAGUCAUUAGGUCAUGAAGUUGGAGCCCUAAGGAAUGGGAUCAGUGCCCUUAUAAGGGAAGACAUGAGAGCCUGCUUACUCCGUCUGUUCUUUGGCCAUCUGUAAAGAAGGAAGAGAGCUUCACCAGAACCCAACAAUGCUGGCAUCGAUCUCAAAACUCCCAGCCUCGAAACUGAGAAAUAAAUGUUUGUUUUUUGAGCCACUCACUCUAUAGUAAUUUUCUAGUCUAAACUGAUUGAGAUGAGGGACAUUCAACCACAUCAGCCUAGGGUAGGUAACUAUCGUCCAGGUGAUUCUGAGGCUGACCUGGACAGGGUAGAACACAAAAACUUUUCAGCACAUGUGUGCUUUGGAACAGGCAGUCAUACAUCAAGAGAUCUGUACUAUUUGCUAAUAUUGAUGGACAAUGUGUAGCAGAGAACAUCUCCAGUCUCGAGUUGGGUACCACAUGGAGUCAACAAAUAUUUAUUGAUUUAUAAAGAAUGUAUGAAUUUAAGUGAUAAAGUUUCAGUGACAUACAAUGUUGAUUUAGUAGCAAAAAGAAGUUUGUAGUUUAAAAAGAAAGAAAGACCACUGAAUGGCCCAUCUAGCAUAUAUAAACCAGUUUAUGGGGUUUUGUUAUGGCAAUCUGAGCAGACUAAGAGACAAGGACUUUUUUUACAAAUUUAGUAGGGAAGAAUAUAAAGCACAUAAACAGAAUGUUAAAAAACCAAUGGUAGGUACCCUAUUAAAGAUAAGAACAAAAUGGUAUGUCUAAGGCAAGCAAGUAUCUGGGGGGAGUUGGAGAAGGCUUCUCAGUAGUUUGAUACUUUCAGUUUGUAGUUUUCACAGUUUCAUGAUUGAAUUUAUGAAAGUGAGAAUGGAAGUUCAGGUUCGAGGGGAAAGGACAGUUUUAACAAAGAAAUUCAUGUUCAAGGAGUUGGGGCAGGUGGUGAGGUGGAGCUGAAGAACUCAUGGUGGUGGCAGAGCUCAGGGAGCAUCCUUCUCACUUUGGCCAUCACAGUUAUUCACAUCCAAGGUGCUCAGAAUCCCACCUCCUGUUUCUGGAAUAGCUUAUCCAGCUCGACUCUUUGUGUUUUGUUGGGACUCACCAUCCUAUGGAUUCCCUCUUGUUGGGAAAAUGCCAUAACUUAAUGGCUGAAAGGAAUGAAACGAUUUGCAUGGAAUUUGUACAUUCAAUGUUCUAUUGAAUGUCCGACCAGUUAACCAGGGAAAUUUCUCUAAAGACCACGAGAUGGCAGUGUUGUCUUGAGAAGAGAUUAUAUAGAGACCAUCAAAGUUUAGAAAAUUGAUACUAUUCCAUGCUUCACUAUCAAUACAUGAAAACAGUAAUAAUUAUACAAACCUCUAAAUUAAUUUAAAGUUUAUUCUUUGCUUGUUUUACGUAUAAAAAUUACUCACUGCUAACAUAGUUUAACAAUGAGACCAGUUUCUGAGCUUCUCAGAUAACAGAAGUCAUGAGAAAUUAAAAAAAUACAUUUUUUGAUAAUAUUUAAUAAUAUUAAAUAUUUUAUAUUAUUUGAUAAUAUCAAAUAGCAAUGUGCCUAACCCUGUUAUGAAGAAAUUAAUAAAUGUCUUGAUCUUUUUUUUAAAAAAACAUCUUCUCUAAUUGAUUGCUUACACAUGCUUCUUUACCAGAGGGAGUUGAUAAAGGGAUUUGGGGAGAGCUAGAUGAAAUGGAAAGCCAGGUGUGGAGUUGAGGGAAAGACCAGGAAUAAGGAAGUCGAGGCACUUGGCCAACAGGAGCUAAUCAAAGAAGAGAGACAAGAGUUGUAGUUUCUCUGGAAAACAGAGUAGCAUCUGGAAGCCUAUAGAACCACUGGUUUCUUCACGUUAUCAAGACUGUUCAGGGAAAGCUCAGCUGGAGGGGGAUCUUAAAGAAAGUAGAAAGACAGAGUAUGGUUUUUCUCCUUGGUUGAGCCAGGAACAAAAGACCCAGACUGGGAGCAGUUGGACUCUGGGGACUGUACAGACAGAGAUAGGCAGAACUGAUGAAGUUAUUUACUUUCUCCUUUUUCCUUUUUCUUCUAGAGACUGGCCUGCAAUCCAGGGCCUAUUCGCCCAGUGGGAAUAAUGCAGUCUGUGUUUUUUGCCUAGCUCUCAAGAUAAGAAUAAUUUUUUACAUUGUUAAAUGCAAAAAAUCCAAAGAAGAAUGAUAUUUUUUACCAUAAGAAAACUAUGAAAUUCAAAUUUCAGUGCUGAUAAAUAAAGCUGUCUACCACAUGAA
Ictidomys tridecemlineatus (thirteen-lined ground squirrel) is the source of this 2835-nucleotide non-coding RNA. NCBI's taxonomy places the organism in Eukaryota, Metazoa, Chordata, Mammalia, Rodentia, Sciuridae. The record is from RefSeq and is a predicted model, not a curated record.